RNAcentral lists this ribosomal RNA (407 nucleotides) under uncultured bacterium. RNAcentral's name for it is "bacterial SSU rRNA". It matches the Rfam family "Bacterial small subunit ribosomal RNA", at positions 355 to 776 of the family's 1533-position model. The record is from RNAcentral.
UGGGGAAUUUUACGCAAUGGGCGAAAGCCUGACGUAGCGACACCGCGUGAGCGAAGAAGCCCUUUGGGGUGUAAAGCUCUGUCAGUGGGGAAGAAAAAAAUGACGGUACCCACAGAGGAAGCAUCGGCUAACUACGUGCCAGCAGCCGCGGUAAGACGUAGGAUGCGAGCGUUGUCCGGAUUUAUUGGGCGUAAAGAGUUCGUAGGCGGUUUGUUAAGUCUGAUGUUAAAAACUGAGGCUCAACCUCGGGACUGCAUUGGAUACUGGCAAGCUGGAGUACAGUAGAGGCAAGUGGAAUUUCCAGUGUAGCGGUGAAAUGCGUAGAUAUUGGGAAGAACACCAGUGGCGUAAGCGACUUGCUGGGCUGUAACUGACGCUGAGGAACGAAAGCCAGGGUAGCGAAUGGG